This is a long non-coding RNA of Acipenser ruthenus (sterlet), 5251 nucleotides long. RefSeq lists it as uncharacterized. The transcript has 4 exons. Lineage: Eukaryota; Metazoa; Chordata; Actinopteri; Acipenseriformes; Acipenseridae. The record is from RefSeq and is a predicted model, not a curated record.
GGAAAAGAAGAAUGAUAAACUUGAGAAGCAGAAAGGCUGUGAAAGUGUCUCUCUGGAAAAAAUCAAUCACCAACCAUUUGUAUUGCAUGGCCAACUCUACCCCAACCAAAUAUUCAGAAUAUCCACAGCCAUGAAAACCAGUGGUUCCCCAAAUACACCCAUGGCCAUCUGACUGGUAGAGGAAGGAAGAAGUGGUUGAAACCAAAUGAAGACGACACAGAGAAGCUGGUUGAAAUCCUGACCAAUAAAGCCUUAUUAAAAGAUGUGAGGAUACUUUCCACUGGCCAAUAGACAUCCAGCCUGGAAUCCUACCAUGCGGUGGUAAACCACUUUGCCCCCAAAAUGCUCUACUUCACGGAAUGAAAUCCAGGCUCAUGAUGUUAGCAUUGCAUUUCAACGAAAAUGCCAGUCGAGAGCCAGCUGUUACCCAAUCAGGAGAAGCACGUUACAAGAUUGAUUUCCCAGUAUUCCAAAGGGGAGAGCACACAGAAAAUCAUGGUCCCAGGGACAUACAAGUGUGUUGACUGGUUGAAAGAUUGUGUGAUUUCCAUGGCCCAAAAUGGGAACAAAGCUUGUCCAUCUAAGGAUAUGCCACCUUUAAUGUUCCAUAAGUACGAAAAACCAUCAAAGGAACAAGCCAUCCUUAACCACAAGAGCCGAUUUAAAAGUGGCCAUUAAAACCUGUGACACUUGUUUUGGACAUUUCUGGAGAAACUGAACUGAAUAAUUGUUUUAUUUUUAAAUUGUUUAUUUUUAAAAUGUAAUUAUAUUUGUUCCAAAGACAACUGAAAUCCUCUAUAUGUGCCAUUCGGGCUAGGAAACGUCUCCCUGAUUUUUAAGACCGCACAUGCAGACAUAACUCUGCAGACAUCUCUGCCGAGAAAUCUCCAACACCAACGACAAAGUUGAUGAUAUGCCAUAUAGCGGUAUUUCCUGCAAUAGCAAAUGGAGUAUUGCUGUUGUAUUGCUGCCUGUAUUGGUAGUAUGCAGUAUCAAAUACACCAUGGUUAAGGCACACUGGGUUGAAGUCUGGGUGCUGGGUUAUACAUUUCUGGGGAAAGUCUAGUUCUUCACAUUUUUCACAUGUUCACUCAAGUUCCUGGCAGCAAACACUUCCUCUUGUUGUGGCCAUUGGCUGGCAGUUACCACAGGAGCACCUGAAAAAAAGAAAGAAAGAAAGAAGUUUCACAUUUGCUGAUAACUUUCCUUGUCUCUCUCUCUGCAGGAAGACAAUCGCAGUUGUAAUAAAAACAGUUGGACUCGUAUCUAAAACCACUGCUGGCAGUCAGUAUGACGGUUACAUUUUAAACAACACCAAUAUUAAAAUGAAAGACAAACUAUUGGAUACAACUCAAAAGUUUUAUUCAAGCACGUCAUAUCAAACAUCUGCACAGCCGAAACACUGUAUUUAAAUGAAUAAUUAAACAUAAAGGGUUUAUUUUCUAACUUGCCACAUAUAAAGCACUACUUAAAAAAAUUAAAAACUAUAAUAAAAUACAUUUCAAAAGAAACUAGUGUUAAACAGGCGUAAACAGGUAUGUAUACAUAUAAAACUGUAAAAACUAAAUGUUACUAAAGUAACAUAUGUUUUCUCUUGUGUCACUCGGUGCAGGACUGAAGCAUUCCUUGUACAAAAUGAAGGAAUUGAUGGCUGCCAGGUCCAGUAGAUACAGGCUUGUAUAUUUUAAAAAAAAUAGAAUAUUGUAGGUUAUAUUCGAAAUAAAAACAUGUAAAAGGCAGUCAAAAUGACUGCUUUGGGUGUUCUAGGUGGGUGGGAUUAUAAUGUCUUUAUUUGCGUGAUCCUGCCUUUCAAAUGCCGUCGGUAUUUAAUACAUAUAUUUAGGAAAAGUAAUAAAUGGACAACCACAUAACUUUCAAACACGCAGAGUAAUUUAAAUUUUAAAACCUCACACCGUCAAAAUGAUAACAGCAAGGCUGGAAGAACCUAUAGAAAAUUGUGCUGCAGCUGUUCAACAAAACUUUCAAAGGGAGAAAAAGUUGCAAUUACCACAGACUCGUGGACCCCAUUUCCCAAUCUUCCCCUAGGUGAAAGGCUUUUUUUACUUGAAAUUGUUCUGUAAGCUUUUGGACUGAUAGGCUGUUUGUUUAGUACAGUUUUUAUUUUUUAUGUUGGAACUACUGCACUAAAGUUAAUGAACUCUGAGACACACUUCAAACAGGUAGGCCAUUUAGUAUUACUUGACCAUAUACAAUUAACUGCACAAGAAGGCAAACAUUAUAUUAAUCACUUCUAAUAUAUUACUUGACUGCAUGUUAGUUUGACAUUUAAAAUAGGACUUGUGGCAAUGUUUGAGAGGUUUGUGUACACUAGUACAGUAUGUAGAGGAGAGUGGUGUUUGAUUCGAGUACUCGGAAAUUGUAAUGCUCAAGUACUCGUCUCGAGCAACAAUAGAUCUCAAAAAUCCCACCCCUACUAUCAAAGACCGCAAACUUUUAAACACAGACUUUUUAAUAUCCGUCACAGUGCUCUUUAAAAUUCCAAAAUAUUGUGCUAUUUUAUCGCUGGUAAUGACCUUUUCCAGAAGUGAAAGUAUUUCCAACUUUUUUUUGUGUACGUUUUCUUUAUUUUAUUUUUUUUUUUUUCACUUUGUAGUUAAGUCUUUGCCAUGUUAAAACGUUAUUUGCUUAUUUAGGGUUUAUUUGCUUAAAAAAUACUAACCAGGGCUGUCCAUAUCAGAAUGUAAUAUGAAGAGUGUGUGUCUGUGUAUGUAGAUAUGGUUUAAACAUUUAAACACUGACAUUGCAAAGCAUUUAAACAUUCAUAAACAUUUACCAAAAGCACUUCCCUACAACCCUGCCUUUCUCUAAGCGGUUUGUGAUGGUUCCUAGUGUAUGUAUGCACAGUCUAGGUAAGGUUAUGUCUACUAAUCGAUUAUCAUGAUAUUAUCGAUAAUUUAUUUAGUCUUGAAUAGUUAUUGUACUGAAAAGUUAUUAUCGAUAAUCAUAUUAUCGGUAAUAUGUUUUUGUUUUUUUUCUGACAGUGAUCUAAAGGAUCAGAACCACAGCUAUCUACUGUAGACAAUAUAUUUUUCCAUAACGAGAUACUGGAGCAGGGGUGUUAAGUGCCAUGUUAUUGAACUUGGCACCAGAAAAUUAUUUUAAUUCAGUCUGCCUUCUACUGGGGGAGAGAACAGGGGAUAAAGUCGCAGUUAAUGGGAGUUCAAAUACAGUUUAAGAUCAUGAUUAUUGUGAUGUAGAACAGUCACAGUUACUAUAUACAGCAGUUUCCAUGAGUAUUGACCACAUCUAUCAAUGUCAUGCAACAGUAUUUUCAGAUAGCUAAAUGAUUGAAUUGGUAUCUAAAGCCACUGGGGGUCGAUACUUAUGGGCACCACAGUAAUGACUAUGACUCAAGAAUGACUAAUGCAGGUGAUGAGAAGAUGUUGGUAUGGGGGCCUGAAACAAAAGGCCUCUAAGUAUUGGUGCUUGCCAUAAUUAAUUAGUCUCCCAGAUGGUAAUUAAUUUGGCCUACAACAAAUACUAAAUAAUGUGUACAUUUCAACAGGCAGUAGCUGUUACAUGGAUUUAAUCACAAGUCAAAGUUGGUGUGUUGAAUAAUGCCAGUAUGAAUUGACUACAUGGCUGCUUCUUGGUCCCAUUGUUACUCUCCUCCUGUUUGAAGUUGGCUGACUGUUUGUCACAAAGAGAUUCAGUCACUGCAAUUGUUGGAAGGUAUUAACAAAAUUAUUUUAAGAAAUUAAAAAAAAAAAAAAACAUGUGAAAGUUUAAAGGACAGAGAGCAAUUUGUUCACUGAGGGUGUGACUGACCCAAUGUAGCUUUGCCUCCGAAUAGUUUCCUUUAGACUUUUAAAUGAAUAAUUCAACAAAGCGUUUGUCACAUGGAAAUGUUAGCAACCGUAUCAGAUAAAACCUCAAAAGAAUAUUGAAAAGCUGUGCUUGGGAUUUUCCACACAAUUGCCAGAUGAUUUAGAAUACUGUACUGUAACAUCCAUUUUAAGAUUUCCCUCUGUAUAUUUGGAAUGUUUAUAGAUAAGCAGCUGCUUCUCAGCAGUUAGUAAAGCCACUUCAGACAUUAAUUGCUAAAGGCCUCAUGAGUAGCCACAUAAAAACUGUUAGAACUAAACUAAUGCUGGUUAUAUUGUACGUGGUCCUGGCAUUUAUUUUUUUUAUUUUUUGCAUUCUAAGUAAUUAAAAAAAACUCAUGUCUCAGAUUCCAGAAAACUCUAUAGCAGCUUUAUUUUCACUUCAUAUAAUUAGCACCUACAUCACACUUUAAUGAUAAUUAACAAGCGCAUUAAUACUGUUAUGUUUGUAUGCACUUCAGGUGCUAUAUAUGCAUAAUUGUAUUUCUUGUGGCUUAUCUUUACUCGUGCCAGCAGAUUAAGUAGAAAAUGAUAAGAGAUUGGUUGGAACAGUGAACUCUGCUAUCUGCCAUGGCAACAAGGUAGGGUGAUAUGGAUUUGUCUAAACACAUUUACCUAGACAGAUACAUGAUGAGACAAUUCAGACAAAAUGUUGACAAAGGCCUUAAGGUCAAGAUAGCCUGUCCAACACUCUUCCUGAGAAUUCUUAGACAGUUGUCCUUUAGGAUGUUUCCUUCUCAAAGAGGCCACAUGGAUAAUUUGACAGAGAGCCAGACAGGCUAUUACAAGUAGCAAAUAGACAUGGCGUCUAUUUGCUAGCUACUUAGACCCUCGUGCCUAAUGGAGGCGUAGAGAGGUCUGCCACAUUAAGUCGGUAGAACCUGGUGAAUGUAUGAGGAGUAGCCCAGCUAGCCGCAGUACAAAUAUCAGACAAUGAGGCACCUCUAAAGAGGGCCCAUGACGUGGCCACACCUCUGGUAGAGUGCACGGAAAACCUCCCAGGUGGGGUUGGGCUGGCAUUAGUAUAUGCUGUCCUCAAAUAAUCAAAUCUCUUAGGGAUAUUUCGACAAUAUCCAUACGAUGCAUUCUUCCUUUUUUUCUGUUCCUGGUAGAAACCCAGUUCCCUUUUUCUUCAGCUAGACCAUACAUGACCUCAUUAAUAUGAACCUUGUUUAACCGUUUGAAAUCUCAUUACCUACAUGUGGAUAAAAUGAUUGUCUCUUAAACAAGUACCUUGUAAACAAUGUGUGGCUACUUUAGGAUUUUACAAUAAACAAAUGUCUUUUAAAAUGAAUUUGGGUGAUUUUCUUGGGGACCUUGUUCCUGCUGUUUUCUGAAUAAAAGAACCUAAAGGUAUCCUGUAAUUUGUUCUGUGCCUUAUCACACUGAACUGGUGCAGUCGCUCU